Ceratitis capitata (Mediterranean fruit fly) is the source of this 1133-nucleotide RNA transcript. RefSeq lists it as uncharacterized. The transcript has 3 exons. The record is from RefSeq and is a predicted model, not a curated record. NCBI's taxonomy places the organism in Eukaryota, Metazoa, Arthropoda, Insecta, Diptera, Tephritidae.
UAUGUGUGUAUAUAUCUGCAGCUACAUGCUCACGUUACAUACCUACGUUACAUACAUAUGUAUAUGCCUGUGUAUUAAUGAGAAUCUCCACCGUUGGGGCUAUGUUAUCGCCAUCGAAUGUAUUUCAUUCAGUCAGCUGACGCCGUUUGUGAUGGUUGCUUGUUAGAGAAGCGUUGAAAUUUUCGCAUAAAAAUUCUAAAUUUUAUUUGUCGUGUGUUUGUUAUUGUAAUUUGUUGGCUGUUGCAAGUUUCAAUGAAAUACGGUGACUGAAAGUGGUAAAGAAGCAUAGGUAGGAAGAGUAAAGAAUUGUGAGAAAAAAUUUUCGGGCAUAAAAAAUUCGACAAAAAUACCAAGUGCAAAAGUUAAAAGAAAAAUUUUUCAAAAUAAAAUUAAUUAUAAGAAAAGUCAGUAACUAACUAAAAAAAAGUAUCACUUUAAAAAAAAAAUUAAGUGCAAACGUUCUCAAAGGAUACCAAUUAAAUUCGCGUUUUUUGCGAAUUUUCCUAAACAAAACAAGACUAACUGAUAACCAACCAAAAAAUAAAAUCAACUCUGGUAUCGAUGAAGAUGGGUUCACCAGCUGUCAAACAACACAAACGCGCAAGCAAAUCGUCGAGCUCUUCGCGGGUCAGCAUGACCACAUCGCAGGCGGAGGAGAAUUUCGUCGAAUCCAAGCUCUUCAGCUGGAUGAGACUAUUCCGAUUCGCAUCACUGCUCUGCCGUGCGGAAUAAUUUAGCAAGCAGAAUGGAAGCGGAAAUAAAUGAGCCAUAUGGCGGCGAGCCCAUCGGGCGACUAGCAGAAGUGCAGGGGGCAAUUAAUUAUAAUAAAUAAUAAACAACAAAAAAAAAUGUAGUAGUCAUACAAAAAGGCAAUUAGUUUAUAGACUUAGAGUAUGUGAUAACAUACACACAUACAUAUAUUCAAAAUAUUCAAUUUCAAAUGAAGUACUAAACAAAAAUCAGUAAAGAAUAAUGCAAAAUAAAAUCAAUUAAAAUAAAAAAAAUAUAAAACAAAAUUAAAAAAUAAAUAAUAAAAUAAAAUGAAAAAUAAAAUAAAAUAACAUAAAAUGAAAUUAAAUAAAAUACAAUAAACUAAUAUGAAACAAAAUAAAACAAAAUGAAAUGAAAUAAAA